CCAAUAGCGUAUAUUAAAGUUGUUGCAGUUAAAAAGCUCGUAGUUGAAUUUUGGGAUCAACACGUCGGUCGUGCCUUCGGUACGCACUAGCGUCGUUGGUUCCUCCCUUCUGACGAACCAUGAUGUCAUUAACUUGGUGUUUUGGGGAGUUAGGACUGUUACUUUGAAAAAAUUAGAGUGUUUAAAGCAGGCAAUCGCUUGAAUACAUUAGCAUGGAAUAAUGAAAUAGGACGUUCGAUCCUAUUUCGUUGGUUUCUAGGAUCAACGUAAUGAUUAAUAGGGAUAGUUGGGGGCAUUAGUAUUCAAUUGUCAGAGGUGAAAUUCUUGGAUUUAUUGAAGACUAACUACUGCGAAAGCAUUUGCCAAGGAUGUUUUCAUUAAUCAAGAACGAAAGUUAGGGGAUCGAAGACGAUCAGAUACCGUCGUAGUCUUAACCAUAAACUAUGCCGACUAGGGAUCGGAUGAUGUUAAUUUUUUAAUGACUCAUUCGGCGCCUUACG
This 500-nucleotide ribosomal RNA is filed under the name uncultured Glomeromycotina. RNAcentral describes it as "partial small subunit ribosomal RNA". It matches the Rfam family "Eukaryotic small subunit ribosomal RNA", at positions 591 to 1092 of the family's 1831-position model. Lineage: Eukaryota; Fungi; Glomeromycota. The record is from RNAcentral.